RNAcentral lists this long non-coding RNA (1613 nucleotides) under Homo sapiens (human). RNAcentral describes it as "non-protein coding lnc-FARS2-1:7". The record is from RNAcentral. Lineage: Eukaryota; Metazoa; Chordata; Mammalia; Primates; Hominidae.
GCCCACGCGUCCCGGGCUUCAGGGGAGCACCUGGGAAGCGCUGGGGGUCGCGUGCCCUUGGCCGGAGGCCUGGUCACCCGCAGGCCCUGCCAUCCUCGGCUUGGCCGCUGCUGCCCGCGCGCCUGUGGCGGAGCGAGCCUGCCUCCAGGGCAGCCUCACCGCCUGGAUCCUGGGCAGGAGACCUCCCAGGUCCCUUCCUCUCUCCAGCUGUCUGGAAUGGAGCCGCCAUGUCUGGUGCUCAAGCGGCCAGCUCUGACCCAGAGGUAACACGUUAUGGAUUGUGGAGCCGCAGGAUGGAGUAGCCUGGGUCUGAUGGUUCUGUUAGUCAAGGCUAUCCAAAGAAGCAGGACCAAUAGGAAAUACAUAUGUUUACCCAGGUGUGGGGAGUAGAGAAGGCCCCUGUGAUGAAGAGCCUCCAGUGCCAGGACCAAUAUGGCAGAUGUUAGGAACAGUGGACUGACCUGCUUUCCAAUGCUUGCUGAAAAGUCACCUGGCAGCAAGAGGUUAACCAGUGUUGGUUCCUGUUGUUUACAACCAAGAAUCCUGAGAAGUUCAUAUGUAGCCCACACAUAAGCUGAAGUAUUGCCUUAUGACAUAUUCUGAAUAUUCCAAUUAUUUUGCAAAUAAUUCCACUAAGAGAUUAAUACAUUCUAGAGCAUGUAGCUGUGGUUCAUUCAUUUUCAUAACUGUGUAAUAUUUCAUUGAAUAAAUUUGCUCUUUCUAUAUUUUCAAACCACUUUAUUGAGAUAUUGUUGAAAUGUUAAAAAGUUGUACAUAUUGAAUGUAUGUAACUGGAUUUUGAGGGUAAGUAUACACCCAUGAAACUAUCACUACCAUCCAUCACCUCCUAGCUUUCUCUCACCCCCUUUAUCAUCAUCAUCAUUAGUAUUAUUUGUGCUGUAAUAUAUUUAUCCAUUUUAUUUUUGAUGGACAUUUGAUAUUGAUGGGUAUUGUUUUCAAGUUUUGCAUUACAAUGCUGAUAUAAGGAUUUCUGUAUGUAUAUUUUAGUGUACAUGAAAAAGUAUUUUUCUGUGAUAUAUUCCUGAGAAUAGAAUUGCUAAAUCAUAGAAAAUGCAUAUGUUUAAACUUAUUAGAUAAUGCUAUUUUUCUAAAGUGAGUAAAACAACUUAUUCUCCCACCAGGAGUUACUGAGAGAAUUUAAAUAUUUGCCUAAAAGUCCUUUAAUAUUUUGUUACAUUUAUGGCUAGGUAUUUUAUGUUUUGGUUGCUUUUAUAAGUAGUAAUUUUUUAUUUUUUAACCAUCAGUUACUGGUGUAUAGAUAUGCAGCUGACUUUUGUAUAUCAAAUUUAUGUCUAGAAACCUUACUAAUCUCAGAUUUAUUUGGGUUUUUUCUGGGAAAGACAAUCAUAUUAUCUGGAAAUAAUGCCAAUUUUGUUUUUAAAUUUGUAGUUCUUAUACUUUGUAUUUCUUUUUCUUGUCUUAUUGCACAAUGUGGGAACCUUCAGUAGAAUGUUCACUAUAAAUGGCACUGGCAAACAUUUUUGCUUUAUUUGACUUUAAAGGAGUUGCUUUUAAUAUUUGACUAUUUAAUAUGACAUAUGCUGUAUUUAAAUCUUUAAAAAAGUCUAAGAAAAAUUUUCUAUUUCUAGUUU